Molecule: ribosomal RNA, 253 nt
Filed under: uncultured bacterium
Lineage: Bacteria
Description: partial 16S ribosomal RNA
Rfam family: Bacterial small subunit ribosomal RNA
Source: RNAcentral
UACGGAGGGGGCUAGCGUUGUUCGGAAUUACUGGGCGUAAAGCGCGCGUAGGCGGACCUGCAAGUCGGGGGUGAAAGCCCGAGGCUCAACCUCGAGAGGUCGGUGGAAACCGUCUGGCUAGAGUCCGGAAGAGGAGAGUGGAAUUCCCGGUGUAGCGGUGAAAUGCGCAGAUAUCGGGAAGAACACCCGUGGCGAGGGCGGCUCUCUGGGACGGUACUGACGCUGAGACGCGAAAGCGUGGGGAGCGAACAGG